AUUACUUUGGCAGAAUAGUGUAAUGAAUUUAGAAUUCAUAAAUGUAUUGAUAUACAAGUAAUA
This 63-nucleotide transfer RNA is filed under the name Inocellia cheni. RNAcentral's name for it is "tRNA-Leu". Lineage: Eukaryota; Metazoa; Arthropoda; Insecta; Raphidioptera; Inocelliidae. The record is from RNAcentral.